RNAcentral lists this ribosomal RNA (253 nucleotides) under uncultured bacterium. Its description in RNAcentral is "partial 16S ribosomal RNA". It matches the Rfam family "Bacterial small subunit ribosomal RNA", at positions 524 to 776 of the family's 1533-position model. The record is from RNAcentral.
UACGAAGGGGGCUAGCGUUGCUCGGAAUCACUGGGCGUAAAGCGCACGUAGGCGGAUUGUUAAGUCAGGGGUGAAAUCCUGGAGCUCAACUCCAGAACUGCCUUUGAUACUGGCGAUCUUGAGUCCGGGAGAGGAGCGUGGAAUUCCCAGUGUAGAGGUGAAAUUCGUAGAUAUUGGGAAGAACACCGGUGGCGAAGGCGGCGCUCUGGACCGAGACUGACGCUGAGGCGCGAAAGCGUGGGGAGCAAACAGG